ACGGGUGAGUAACGCGUGGGUAACCUACCCUGUACACACGGAUAACAUACCGAAAGGUAUGCUAAUACGGGAUAAUAUAUUUGAGAGGCAUCUCUUAAAUAUCAAAGGUGAGCCAGUACAGGAUGGACCCGCGUCUGAUUAGCUAGUUGGUAAGGUAACGGCUUACCAAGGCGACGAUCGGUAGCCGACCUGAGAGGGUGAUCGGCCACAUUGGAACUGAGACACGGUCCAAACUCCUACGGGAGGCAGCAGUGGGGAAUAUUGCACAAUGGGCGAAAGCCUGAUGCAGCAACGCCGCGUGAGUGAUGAAGGCCUUCGGGUCGUAAAACUCUGUCCUCAAGGAAGAUAAUGACGGUACUUGAGGAGGAAGCCCCGGCUAACUACGUGCCAGCAGCCGCGGUAAUACGUAGGGGGCUAGCGUUAUCCGGAUUUACUGGGCGUAAAGGGUGCGUAGGCGGUCUUUCAAGUCAGGAGUGAAAGGCUACGGCUCAACCGUAGUAAGCUCUUGAAACUGGGAGACUUGAGUGCAGGAGAGGAGAGUGGAAUUCCUAGUGUAGCGGUGAAAUGCGUAGAUAUUAGGAGGAACACCAGUUGCGAAGGCGGCUCUCUGGACUGUAACUGACGCUGAGGCACGAAAGCGUGGGGAGCAAACAGGAUUAGAUACCCUGGUAGUCCACGCUGUAAA
RNAcentral lists this ribosomal RNA (685 nucleotides) under uncultured bacterium. RNAcentral describes it as "bacterial SSU rRNA". It matches the Rfam family "Bacterial small subunit ribosomal RNA", at positions 102 to 806 of the family's 1533-position model. The record is from RNAcentral.